Molecule: ribosomal RNA, 207 nt
Filed under: Klebsiella pneumoniae
Lineage: Bacteria; Pseudomonadati; Pseudomonadota; Gammaproteobacteria; Enterobacterales; Enterobacteriaceae
Description: partial 16S ribosomal RNA
Rfam family: Bacterial small subunit ribosomal RNA
Source: RNAcentral
AAUAUUGCACAAUGGGCGCAAGCCUGAUGCAGCCAUGCCGCGUGUGUGAAGAAGGCCUUCGGGUUGUAAAGCACUUUCAGCGGGGAGGAAGGCGCCAAGGUUAAUAACCUUGGCGAUUGACGUUACCCGCAGAAGAAGCACCGGCUAACUCCGUGCCAGCAGCCGCGGUAAUACGGAGGGUGCAAGCGUUAAUCGGAAUUACUGGGC